Molecule: ribosomal RNA, 497 nt
Filed under: uncultured bacterium
Lineage: Bacteria
Description: partial 16S ribosomal RNA
Rfam family: Bacterial small subunit ribosomal RNA
Source: RNAcentral
GAUGAACGCUGGCGGCGUGCCUAAUACAUGCAAGUCGAGCGAACGGACGAGAAGCUUGCUUCUCUGACGUUAGCGGCGGACGGGUGAGUAACACGUGGAUAACCUACCUAUAAGACUGGGAUAACUUCGGGAAACCGGAGCUAAUACCGGAUAAUAUAUUGAACCGCAUGGUUCAAUAGUGAAAGACGGUCUUGCUGUCACUUAUAGAUGGAUCCGCGCUGCAUUAGCUAGUUGGUAAGGUAACGGCUUACCAAGGCAACGAUGCAUAGCCGACCUGAGAGGGUGAUCGGCCACACUGGAACUGAGACACGGUCCAGACUCCUACGGGAGGCAGCAGUAGGGAAUCUUCCGCAAUGGGCGAAAGCCUGACGGAGCAACGCCGCGUGAGUGAUGAAGGUCUUCGGAUCGUAAAACUCUGUUAUUAGGGAAGAACAUAUGUGUAAGUAACUGUGCACAUCUUGACGGUACCUAAUCAGAAAGCCACGGCUAACUACGUG